AUGAUUAUUAUCAUUAAGCUAACCUCCGACCCAGUCUUUCCAGGUAAGGGCCCUCGCAUGGCGAGUGAGCAGAUCCAUGGAGGUGAUGAGGAGGCAGGAGCAGAUGGAGCAAUGCUGUGGUCCAUCCGGGAGGCCGUGGAGAGGCAGACCGUGCAGAUAGGAGCCUCGGCCUGCGGGGCCACAGCGGUGGUGGACGUGCUGAAGGCCCUCGGCGUGGAGGUGCCCCCCGAGGAAGCGGACCGCUGCGUCCGGACCCGCCUGAGGAGGAACGAGUCCCCGCUACCCGACUACCUGCUGUCCCGGAGUGAAGCAGGUGCAACUCAUUCUCAGCUCAUCCAGGGAGCACAGGAGGCCAGCAAGGGGAAGGUAGUGGGACGCUUCUUCCACUUCCACCCUCGGCGGCUGGUCGGGCUGAUCCUCUGGCUCGCACGCUGGAUCCGAAAAGGCGCUGUUCCCGUGGCGACCAUGAACAUGCAGCUGGCCGUGCCCGAGGGAGAGGAAGUGCCGGACGCCUGGCACCACCAGCUCAUAUUUGGCGUUGCACCCAAUACUGUUUUCAUGACCAACCCUUUAGAUGUCGGCAGUGAGGAGGAGGUCCACCAGAGGCUCUGCAGUGAAUCUGUGUUGCUGAUUCGUCGAGAAGAUGUCCUGCAGAGACUGACGCCGGAUUGCUGUCUGUCCGGUUUGUCUGAGAGUCGGUCCGACCCUCGGUGGAAAGCCCUGGAUGUCGAGGGUCAAGUGAGGCAGGUGGCCCUCGAAGAGGAGCAGGAGCCAGAUCGACCCGGGUCGGUGCACGUGACCAUCCCGGCGGCGUACAGCUCGGGCAUCACGCUGUUCGCCCUGCGAGAGUCCCUCUUAGGUCAAGAACUCCUCGAUGCCCCCGAACUCCCUCUCCUGUAACACUACUGCCACUCGUGCUCCUCAAGGCUUAUUUAUUGUGACAUGAAAAUGAAAAACACCUGAUUGAUCCCGGUGGUUUAGGAUCAGCAGACAUCCUCCUGAAGGGACACGACUGGAGGAGGGGUUCAAAGGGAGAGAGAGCGAGGGACAACCAAAGCCAUGAUAUAUGAUCCGUACCGAUGAUGCAGCUGUAGCACAGCCGGUCGCAGGCUGCAGACAAUGAAUCGCGUAGCAGAAUGUGUUGCAGAUGUGUGCUCGUGCUGUAAAGGGACUAUAAAACCGUGCACCACAAACACCAAUUGUUGACACUUAUUGUUGAUACAUCUGUUUUCUAACCUAAACUGCACAUGCCCCCUCCUGCACCUUUAGCAGUGAGUGGCCACACAUUCAGCUGAAACAGCUGCAAAUAUUUGUCAUUUUGUUCUCAACAGUUUGGUGUGAGUGCAUUAAGUUUCACGUAACAAGAGGAGCAUUCAUGCAUUCAUUUCACUGCUGUAAUUUACGAUGAUCAAGAGCUUCAGCAGACUUGACUGAGCUGAUUGCUGAUGAGCUCAUUUCAAUAAAUGUCAUAUUUAUGGGAUUAAAUAUCAACUGGCAUAUUCUGAUCCUCUUGUUAGCAGUGCCAUGAAAAAAACCCUGCAUCCUGCAAUGACGGAGUACAUGAAGGGGUGAGUAUUAAGCGCAGUAUUUUUCACAAGAAUAUGGUGAUGUUAAAGUAAAAAAGUAUCCAAAAUCCUACUUGGGUACCUCCAAAUGAAAUCCAUCCAUCCAUCCAUUGUCAAACCGCUUAUCCUGCACACAGGGUCGCGGGGGGGCUGGAGUCCAUCCCAGCCAACUUCGGGCGAUAGACAGGGUACAUCCUGGAUUGGUCGCCAGCCAAUCGCAGGACUAACACAGAGACACACAACCACCUCCAAAUGAAAGUGGUGUAGAAUUCCUAAUGCAUGCAAAUAAGUACUUUACAAGGACUGCUUUUGGCAGUACAGGUGACAAAUGAACUAAGGCCAUUCUCAAUAUGCGUUCUUGUGUUCUCGUGGACUUGUGAAACGUCAUCAGUCGCAGCCCGAGUACUGGGUCCGUGUACCUUUUGAUCGCCCCUUUUACCGUAAAAACCAUCAAAUGAAAACACUGUUUUCCCGUUUUUUGCUUUAUCCAUGCGGUUACCAGGGUAACAUUAGAAGAAAAGUGCAUUAAUCAAUAGAAAAGGUGAGGCCUUUAACCCCAAGAACACCAUGCCUACUGUCAAGUACGGUGGUGGUAGUAUUAUGCUGUGGGCCUGUUUUGCUGCCAAUGGAACUGGUUCUUUACAGAGAGUAGAUGGUAUAAUGAAGGAGGAUUACCUUUGAAUUCUUCAAGAUAACCUAAAAUCAUCAGCCUAAAGGUUGGGUCUUGGGCGCAGUUGCGUGUUCCAACAGGACAAUGACCCCAAACACACAUUAAAAGUGGUAAUAGCGACAUGUGACCAAAUAUUAGCACUGCUCUAUGUAUAUUUUUGACGCAGCAGAUUUGAUCACUUUUUCUGUUAACCCAUAAUAAAGUCAUAAAAGAACCAAACUUCAUAAAUGUUUUUUGUGACAAAGAAGUAUCUGUUCACUCUAUCAGACUUGUCGCCCCCCCCGCCGUUGUUUAGUGAUAAAUUAACCACAUUAGGCCACUGAAAACGUUACGUCGCAAGUGGUCUGACGUUUCCUAAAAAAUAAACACGAAAAUCAGGGAUUUUAAAGACUUGUCCAACUGUUUACUGAUGUUUGUCUGCCUGUAUUGCUCCCUCUCUCUCUCUCUCUCUCUCUCUCCAGACAGAUAAUUUAAAAGUAGUUCUACUGUUCUACAAAUUAGACAAGUUCACCAGUUUUGUUUAAUUUAAUUCUAUUAUUGGGAUGAAAGGUAGGUCUUAAGUUGAGCUACAUGACAGUCUGGUGAGGUUUAUUGUGGUAUAUUAGCUGCUUAUGCUUCAUCAUAGAAAAUAGUAAAAUAGUAAAAUGUGUGAGUGUUGUCAGCUUCAUAGAGAUUCUGUAAGUCACUCUUAAUUAUUAUGCACAUUAUUAGUAUUUUUAAUCCCAUGAAUAAUUUUGGCGAUGGGUGCCAUCCGGCGCAUGUAGGGGUUAGUGGGAAUGAGAGGGCAGACAGGCUGGCAAAGAGGGCACUGAACAAAGCAAACAUAGGAUGGACAUUACUAUCAGUAAAGCAGAGGUGAAGUGCAUUGUUUGCCCAAAAAAUCUACAAAUUGUGGCAAAAACGGUGGGACAGAGGGGAGAAAGGGAGACAUUUAUACCAUUCACAAAAGAUUGUCAAAGUCACAAGGGUGGGCAGAAGGAACAGGGGAGAAGAGACAGUGAUGACUAGGUUAAGGUCAGGGCAUUGUGCUCUAAACAAAACACUGAAGAUUAUAGGAACAUGUUGGAAAAACUGCAAUAAUGUCAUGUGAAGAAGGGGUUUUAGACAGGACUAUGUUUGGACAAUAAAUUGGGUGUAUGACAUCUCAGAUGUCAUCUUCAUUCAGUAUUCAUUUUUCUAACAGAAAACAUCAGAGAGGGUUGUGUGAAGGAUGUGGAGAGGAGGAGUCGGUUGAGCACAUCGUGUUGAGGUGCUGCAAGUAUGAGGUGCAAAGAGAGAGGAUGAGGAAUCAGCUUAUUUUUAUUCAUUUACUUAUUUAUGUAUUUUUCUUAUUUCAUAUUUUGGGGGAGAGAGGGGUACUUUGGGAGAAAGAGCCACACUACGGGCAGAACCGCAGGUGGCGGUGAUGCGCUGCCAAUACACCAAAGAAGAAGAAAAAGUCGACGACGACGAAGAAAACGACAUGCCGCCGAAAUUUGUCAAGCAAGAGCAGCAAAUAAAAGGUAAGACGGCACCAAGGAAACGGGACGCAAUCCGCUGUUUCUGCGCUAUUUAGCGCUUCGGAGUGACGCUGCGUUACCGCGCGCAGCUCAUCAGUCCAUCAGCGCAAAACACACACGUGUGUUUGCGCGCGCCCGCGCGCGCGUAUGCAACGCGUGUUGACAUCCACAGUCCUUAGGUCACAGGUGUCAAACUCAAGGCCCGCCGGGGGGUCCAGCUCGGCCCGCCGGAUGACUCUGCUAUUGUGAGAAUUACAGAAAGACAUCAAUGACGCUUAUAUAAAACAUAGCUGCUAUUCUAGAAGCGUCUACUGGGCGCGUCGCAUGUGACGCAUUCACCCACGCGCUGCCGGUAGAUGCGCGAUGGCUGCUGUCAGGCGAGAGGCUGGUUGUGUGUUUUUGUAUUUUUAUAUCGAUUCGUUUAGCGCUGUCGUUCCGCUCGGUUACGGCCACCGCGACGCUUUAGAAAUGAACACGAGGGGAUUCUGUAUUUGCUCAUUUGGCCAAUGUUUGGAAACCGACCGAAGCCAGCGGACAGAGGACACCUGGGCCCUGUUCCUCGUACGUGGUUCAACUAAGUCGACCAAAUGUCUACUGUAAUUCCAAUACUUUUAGCGGUAACGAGCAUGUAACGAAGUAUUUUUUAAAUACAUUAACGCAGUUACAAUUACUGAAAUUGAAAUUAGUUCGUUACUCUCUUUUGUGACGCGAAGCGGAGGGCCGGCAAAUAGUAAGUAAAUAGCUGCCCCGCGGAUGCUGGAUGUUGUGACUUUAUGCUACAUGUAUAAUCACUGUUAUAGUCGUAUACUACACGUGGGCUAUCUCAAUCGAUACAAAUGCACGGAGACGAGGAUGCAGUACAAAUUAGGCCAUUUACUGGCGCUCAAAUCACACAACCGGCAGGCAUGAACAAACAAUCACAGAACUCCGUCGUAGUGACAGUCAAACACAAUCGAGCACUGAGUGCUCGAUCCAAUAUACCACACUGCAGGCGCCGCUCCACGCAAACAACCACGGCAAUAGAUUGAUUGCUCGCUAUGUUGAAGAUGAGAUGCAUCCUGUCAACCGUCGAGUCAGUUGCCUUCAGGCAAAUGCCUGAAACAGUUAUUUUGUAUUAAGUUAAGUAUUAAAAAAGACUUUUGUACUAUUGCUUGAUUUGAAGGCCUGUUGCCCUGUUGAUUACAAUAAAUAGGUCUAAAAAAUAUGUUUAUUGUGUUUGACUGUUCAGUACUAUUUAUAUUCAUUACAUUUAAAAAGCAGACAUAAAAGUAACUUAAAUGUUACUUUCCAGAGUAACUAAUUACUUUUGAUGCACAGUAACUGGUAAGUAAUUCAAUUACCUUUAAAAGUAGUAACUGUAACUAAAUACUCAUUUUCAGUAACUUGCCCAUAAUCCAGGUCAAAUGACCGAGAUGAUUGACAUCUGGCUAUCUCUGUCCCUCGACGGCGGAUCGGCGCUCGAAUCGUCUCGUUAGUUUGAACCAGAUGUCGAUCAUCAGGAUUACCGCACGUGCGCGUCCUAUGUCAGAAGGCGGAAGAGUCAUGAACACAUAUGAUGAGAUGUUAAUUUGAAUCAUUUCUGUCUGAUGAAUUUAACAUAUUAUACAUAUUUUACAUUGUUCAUUCUGUACGUCCAUCGCGGUCUGUCCGUCCCAGGGAAGAAUAAAGGUUUCUUCCCUUUAUUCUUCCCAUCAACCACAAGUUCUUAAUGGGAUUAAGGUCUGGGGAGUUUCCUGGCCAUGGACCCAAAAUUUCAAUGUUUUGUUCCCCGAGCCACUUAGUAAUCACUUUUGCCUUAUGGCAAGGUGCUCCAUCAUGCUGGAAAAGGCGACGUCUUUAACCCCAAGAACAUCAUGCCUACUGUCAAGUACGGUGGUGGUAGUAUUAUGCUGUGGGGCUGUUUUGCUGCCAAUGGAACUGGUUCUUUACUGUCGUAUCGUCCACCCCCGACAAAAAAAAAUCACUCCAAGGUUUCUUGAAAAGUUGAGAGCGCCGGUAGAGUCUGCAGACUGGCCGCACUGGGCUGAAGGCGAAUACUUCAUUGUAUCUCGUCCUGACCGUGGCUUUGCUUUUCUGUGUCGAUGAGCCGCGGCUGAUUCGGCGCUGCCUGGUGACCGUGCCUUUUUCUUACUUGUUUCAUUUAAUUGACUUGUUGUUC
Long non-coding RNA from Gasterosteus aculeatus (three-spined stickleback), 5892 nucleotides. Lineage: Eukaryota; Metazoa; Chordata; Actinopteri; Perciformes; Gasterosteidae. The record is from Ensembl.